GAACGAGACCGCUGCCUGCUAAAUAGUUGGAUGAGUGUUUUGACACUGAUUGCAGCUUCUUAGAGGGACAUGGAUUAUCAAAAUCCAGGAAGAUAGCGGCAAUAACAGGUCUGUGAUGCCCUUAGAUGUCCUGGGCCGCACGCGCGUUACACUGAUGCAUUCAACGAGCUUAUAACCUUGGCCGAGAGGCCUGGGCAAUCUUGUUAACGUGCAUCGUGAUAGGGAUAGAUUAUUGAAAUUAUUAAUCUUGAACGAGGAAUUCCUAGUAAACGCAGAUCAUCAAUCUGCAUUGAUUACGUCCCUGCCCUUUGUACACACCGCCCGUCGCACCUACCGAUUGGAUGGUCCGGUGAAGCCUCGGGAUUGUGGUUCUUGCCGCUUUAUUGUGGCGUGACCGCGAGAACUUGUCUAAACC
RNAcentral lists this ribosomal RNA (415 nucleotides) under uncultured eukaryote. RNAcentral describes it as "SSU rRNA". It matches the Rfam family "Eukaryotic small subunit ribosomal RNA", at positions 1333 to 1765 of the family's 1831-position model. The record is from RNAcentral.